AUCAAUUAAUAUUGUCAUUCGUAUAUAGGAGGAUAUAAAUUAAAGUCUAAAGAUGCUUGCAUAUCUCAUUGUGGUACAAAAGUCACUGGACAACCCUUGUCAGAUUGUAAAAUUGCAUGCACUUUCAUCUUCC
Molecule: long non-coding RNA, 133 nt
Organism: Ceratosolen solmsi marchali
Lineage: Eukaryota; Metazoa; Arthropoda; Insecta; Hymenoptera; Agaonidae
Exons: 2
Source: RefSeq, a predicted model, not a curated record